This 305-nucleotide ribosomal RNA is filed under the name uncultured bacterium. RNAcentral describes it as "bacterial SSU rRNA". It matches the Rfam family "Bacterial small subunit ribosomal RNA", at positions 335 to 659 of the family's 1533-position model. The record is from RNAcentral.
UACCUACGGGGGGCAGCAGUGGGGAAUAUUGCACAAUGGGGGAAACCCUGAUGCAGCAACGCCGCGUGAGUGAAGAAGUAUUUCGGUAUGUAAAGCUCUAUCAGCAGGAAAGAAAUGACGGUACCUGACUAAGAAGCCCCGGCUAACUACGUGCCAGCAGCCGCGGUAAUACGUAGGGGGCAAGCGUUAUCCGGAUUUACUGGGUGUAAAGGGAGCGUAGACGGCUGAGCAAGUCUGAAGUGAAAGGCGGGGGCCCAGCCCCCGGACUGCUUUGGAAACUGUAUAGCUAGAGUGCAGGAGAGGUA